Molecule: signal recognition particle RNA, 299 nt
Filed under: Oncorhynchus mykiss (rainbow trout)
Lineage: Eukaryota; Metazoa; Chordata; Actinopteri; Salmoniformes; Salmonidae
Description: Metazoan signal recognition particle RNA (ENSOMYG00000052221.1)
Rfam family: Metazoan signal recognition particle RNA
About the family: The signal recognition particle (SRP) is a universally conserved ribonucleoprotein.
Source: RNAcentral
ACCGGGUGCGGUGGCAUGUGCCUGUAAUCCAAGUCACUGGGAGGCUGAGGUUGGUGGAUCAAGUGAGCUGAGGAGCUCUGGGCUGCAGCACUCUAUGUCGAACGGGUGUCCACGCUAAGUUCGGUAUCGAUAUGGUGUUCCUGGGGGAGCCCGGGACCACCAGGUUGUCUAAGGAGGGGUGAACCGGCCCAGGUCGGAAACGAAGCAGGUCAAAUCCCCCGUGCUGUCCAGUAGUGGGAUACUACCUGUGAGUAGAUGCUGCAGUGCAGCCUUGGCAAAACAUCGAUACCCAGUCUUUU